Long non-coding RNA from Mya arenaria, 625 nucleotides. RefSeq lists it as uncharacterized. The record is from RefSeq and is a predicted model, not a curated record. Lineage: Eukaryota; Metazoa; Mollusca; Bivalvia; Myida; Myidae. The transcript is spliced from 2 exons.
AGAUUUAUUCUCUGGAAAGUAGAAAAGGGCAUGUUACAUACUGUUAUCACUGCCAUGACAGAAACCAUAUUGAGGAGCUGGUCCACCUGUAGGAAGAAUUGCGCUAUUGGUUGGAGCAGCACUAUUACCCAGCCAUACACCAGCACUUAGUUUGUCAUAGGGAGCAUUUCUGAGCAGUUAUGGAGACCACUAACUAUGCAGGUGUUGCAGUGAAACUUGCACCAGUGUGUUUUCUGUGGAGAUAAAGAGAUAGUGUCCAGCAAUGAAGACCCAACUCAAGAUCUGACCUUGUAAGGCCAAUAUAAAAUAACUGUGUGGGAAAAUGGGAACAACCUGCAGUCAGGAAUGCACGGAAAUCAUCAAAAGAACAGUGUUAAAUUAAUCUUGAAUAACUUGACAUUUAUUUUGUUUGACAUAUUUAUUCAUGGUGCAGUGAAAACAUUCUUUUUUUCUCAUGGUUAUUUAAAUUUAGAAUUGAUAGGAGGGAACAUCACUAUGUAGUUUCAUGUUCAUAGUCAGAUCAAAACCCAUGUACAUGCCCAAAUGAGCAUUCGAAAAUAUCAAAAUGGUACUUGUUGUAUGUAGUGUAAGUUAAUUAACAUAAUAAACAAAAAUAUUUAAUCAA